UUGAGUUCAGCGGGUAUCCCUACCUGAUCCGAGGUCAACCAUAGAAAAUUGGGGGUUCUGGCGCGAGCACCUCCGGACCCUAUAGCGAGAAGAAUUACUACGCUUAGAGCCAGAGGGCACUGCCACUGAUUUUAAGAGCUGCCUACUGGCAUGCCCCAACACCAAGCUGAGCUUGAGGGUUAUAAUGACGCUCGAACAGG
This 200-nucleotide unclassified non-coding RNA is filed under the name Helotiales sp. RNAcentral describes it as "partial internal transcribed spacer 2". Lineage: Eukaryota; Fungi; Ascomycota; Leotiomycetes; Helotiales. The record is from RNAcentral.